This is an RNA transcript of Vigna radiata var. radiata (mung bean), 1778 nucleotides long. It is a transcript of the gene named purple acid phosphatase 18, with no coding region annotated. NCBI's taxonomy places the organism in Eukaryota, Viridiplantae, Streptophyta, Magnoliopsida, Fabales, Fabaceae. The transcript is spliced from 6 exons. The record is from RefSeq and is a predicted model, not a curated record.
UGUUGGAUUUUGCGAUGGAGAGUAGAAAGAAGGAUUGAAGUGGUAGCAGGUACGUUGUUGUCUCAGGCAGACACUGAUAUGGAACAACCAAAACACAAAUUUCUUCUGAUUCUAACGCUUCUUUUCUCAACCGUCACGGUUGAAUCUGAAUACCUUCGCCCUCUUCCUCGUAAAACCUUAACCAUCCCACGGUAUUCAGUUUCCAAGGCUCACUCCUCUUAUCCUCAACAGGUACACAUUUCUUUGGCGGGAGAGAAACACAUUAGAAUUACCUGGAUAACCGAUGAUAAACAUUCACCCUCGUAUGUAGAAUACGGAACAUUACCUGGGAGAUAUGACUCAAUUGCUGAAGGAGAGGUCACCUCUUAUAACUAUAUGUUAUAUACCUCAGGAACGAUACACCAUGUUGUAAUUGGACCUUUGGAAGACAAUACUGUGUACUUUUACCGUUGUGGGGGAAAAGGUCCUGAUUUCCAGCUCAAAACCCCUCCAAACCAAUUUCCAGUUGUUUUUGCUGUGGCUGGUGAUCUUGGUCAGACUGGCUGGACUAAAUCAACAUUGGCUCACAUUGACCAAUCUCAAUAUGAUGUCUACCUGCUUCCAGGAGACCUUUCAUAUGCUGAUUGUAUGCAGCAUCUGUGGGACAGUUUUGGUGAACUAGUGGAGCCGCUUGCUAGUACAAGGCCAUGGAUGGUGACAGAGGGUAACCAUGAAGAAGAGAACAUACUCUUGUUAACGGACAAGUUUGUGUCCUAUAAUUCCAGAUGGAAAAUGCCAUUUGAGGAAAGUGGAUCAACUUCAAAUCUCUAUUAUUCUUUUGAGGUUGCUGGUGUCCACGUUAUCAUGCUUGGCUCCUAUGAAGAUUAUGAUGUGUACUCUGAACAAUAUAGAUGGCUAAAGGAAGAUCUGUCAAAGGUUGAUAGGGAAAGGACACCUUGGUUGCUUGUGUCAUUUCAUAUACCUUGGUAUAAUAGUAACAAGGCCCAUCAAGGUGCAGGGGAUGAUAUGAUGGCAGCUAUUGAGCCGUUGCUUUAUGCCGCUAGUGUUGAUUUAGUUAUUGCUGGUCAUGUUCACGCUUACGAACGUUCGAAACGUGUGUAUAAUGGAAGAUUGGAUCCCUGUGGUGCCGUCCAUAUAACUAUAGGUGAUGGAGGAAACAGGGAAGGCUUAGCUCGGAAGUAUAUAAACCCACAGCCAAAGUGGUCAGAAUUCCGUGAAGCCAGUUUUGGUCACGGUGAGCUGAAGUUUGUAAACUCCACUCAUGCCCUCUGGAGUUGGCACAGGAACGAUGAUGACAAUUCAGUAAAAGUUGAUGAUAUCUGGAUAAACUCUUUGGUCAGCUCGGGAUGCGUUGAUCAGAAGACACGUGAACUCAGAAGUACACUUAUGAUACCCUAAAAGUUGUAUCUGCAACUGUUACUCCGUAACCGUGUGGAUCAGCAUAAGUUCUGUAAAAAUAUGGAUGAUGAAACAAUACAUCAGUUUACAAUGGAUCACUAGCGGUAGAAUGGGUAAAGUCAGGACCUGCAUUCAGAUUGUUGAUAUGAUUCUAGAUCCUCGCAAAGAGUAAAGCAAUGAUGAUUACUGGGAUGUCCGAAGGUCAAAUUAACAAAGUGCUGAAGAGUAAAUGGGACAUGAUGGAAUGUAAAUUAGCAAUCUAAGAAUAGAGUCGCAUUAUGGAUUAUUUCGAAAUUCAUUACAUUUAAACCAUCGUAGCAAGUUUUACAAAGAUCUGUAGAGAAACCGAGUUCUGAUAACAGAUAUCUGUAUCUGGUGAA